GGAAGUAAUAACAAGGUUUCCGUAGGUGAACCUGCGGAAGGAUCAUUGCCACACACGAUCCAAGAUCGACACUUUAUUGUGAACUGUUAAUGUUAUUAUUGAUUUUAUUCCUUCUUUAGCUUGUUAUUCGUAACAAGAGAGGGGAGGGAGAAGUCAGUAACCCAUAUUAUUACACAUAUUUAAAAACCAAAAUGAAUUAUCAUUGGAACAUAAAUGUUAUGUCAAGUUCGUCUUGAUUUAACGCUAGAUUGAAAAUUGUAAAACAACUUUUAACAACGGAUAUCUAGGUUCUU
Molecule: unclassified non-coding RNA, 293 nt
Filed under: plant metagenome
Description: partial contains small subunit ribosomal RNA and internal transcribed spacer 1
Rfam family: Eukaryotic small subunit ribosomal RNA (bases 1-48)
Source: RNAcentral